CGAGCGAGACCCACGUCCACAGUUGCCAGCAUACCCUCCGGGGUGGAUGGGUACACUGUGGAGACCGCCGCUGCUAAAGCGGAGGAAGGAGUGGGCAACGGUAGGUCAGUAUGCCCCGAAUCUCCCGGGCUACACGCGGGCUACAAUGGUUGGUACAAUGGGCAUCUACCCCGAAAGGGGAAGGAAAUCUCUUAAAGCCAAUCGUAGUUCGGAUUGAGGGCUGCAACUCGCCCUCAUGAAGCUGGAAUCCGUAGUAAUCGCGUUUCAACAGAGCGCGGUGAAUACGUCCCUGCUCCUU
RNAcentral lists this ribosomal RNA (298 nucleotides) under uncultured Methanosaeta sp. RNAcentral's name for it is "partial 16S ribosomal RNA". It matches the Rfam family "Archaeal small subunit ribosomal RNA", at positions 1042 to 1338 of the family's 1478-position model. Lineage: Archaea; Methanobacteriati; Methanobacteriota; Methanomicrobia; Methanotrichales; Methanotrichaceae. The record is from RNAcentral.